CCUAAACAUAAUUAGUUCACAUAGUUUACUGGAGAGAGGAAGACAGAAGAUAUGUGAGAAGAAGAUACAUUAAUAUUAAAGAAAGGUCAAAUAGUAUAAACUGGCAAUGAGAGUGAAGAACAAGAUAUAUAUUCAUUUCAUAAUAGAAGAUGCUACAGUACACAAUGCAAACUGUGUGACAGAAUAUUAAUGGAAAGGUUACAAAACUGCAAACAAACAGAUAAGAAGUUAUCACAAAGAAGAGAGAUAAAUUAUUGUUGAAUUGAAGAUCUAAGCAGAGGGCAUUAUUUUGAGAAAAUUUUAAGUUAUUGAACCUCAAGAAAAAAAAUCAGAAUUUAUCUCAAUGGCUGCAUUCUUUCCAGAUCAGGAGAUUUCAAUUGACCUUAAUGAGAAAAACGCAAAUGUAAAAAGUCAAGAGGAUGAACCAACCAAAAAAACAAUCAAGGAUGCACAUCUUUUAAGUACCACCACUGGUGGCAUGGAGAAUUCGUGCCACAGCUGCAUGCUGGGCUUAGGAAUUAUAACUUUUUUGAUUGGUAUGUCAACAUUAAUCCUUGCUUGUGCAAUAAACUCUCUAGAUUCAGUUCCCUUUGUUUUGGGGGUUUCUAUUCUGGCGAUUGGUGUUUCUUCAAUCAUGUUCAGCUGCAUUUGGAGAAGAUACAAGAGAAAAAAGAAGGCAAAGAGAAAUGAAGACCUAGCCGUAUUGUGUUAUGAGUAUAAGGAGAAAAAGAUCAGAAUAUAAAUACGUUGUACAAAACUACAACAAAAUGUGUUGCAUAACAGAACUUAUACCUGUAAAAGAAUCCAUUGUUUCUCAAAUAUUAUUAGGGAAGCCACGUUGGUCUGCUUUGCAUGUUUUUUUUUAACUUGUAUUAUUUAUUCAGUUUCUGAAAAAGUAAAUACAAUGAAAUUGUAACCUACAAUUCAAGGAAUCAGGACAUCAGUAAAAAAUUACAUACUACAUAAGGUGUCUGCAUUUAUUUACCUUCAAUUAUUUUGUUCAUCCUCUUGAAAAAGCUGGCCAUGCUAUGAGCUCCAUAAUGAAAUGGAAAAAAGUUAAGCUUAUGGUAUGCGAGUGAAUAAUUAAGCCAAAUUAUAACAAUACAAAAAAGAAUCACAAUCCAAAAGAGAAGCUACGAGAAUAGAAUAAAAGAUCAAUCAUCUUGAUCUUCUUCUGUCUGCUCAAAUCUCUAACACAAUUUAGCUCAAACUUGCCUUUAGAGAACCUAUACUAUUUGCAUAUAGGCCUUAUCCUACUAAUAAUGAUAAGCCAGAACUGAAAUGCCAACAAGUCCUCUAUGCACAAGAAAUCAAGAAAAACUCUGCAUAUAAUUUUAGCCUUCUUUGAAUAUCUUCAGCAAGGCACAGCAUGGGGUCUAGGUCUGGAUUACUCUUUUCACUUACAAAUGCAUAUUGAUGAGAUGGUAUUAUUCUGACAUUUUGACUGAGGAAAAUAGUAUUUAACAGAUAAAUGCAAUAUAUCCAAAAUGAAUACACUUAAAAAAAAUACACAGUAUUAUCAGUCUCUGAUUUCUGUGAACAUAUGUUGUCAGUAUAUAAAUAUUAUUAAACAGAAAAAAAAAAGAAAAAAAACUGGCGUGAUACUAAUUUAAUAAACUAAGUCAUUAGAUUUUACAAUUUGAGAAAAGUGAAAUAAGGAAUGAUUCUGGAUUUCUUGAAAGUUCACAUUUAGUUACAUGCUGAAAUGCCAAAGUGUAAUUUUAAAUUGAAAGUACAAACUAAUUUUGUUUAUCCACUAUAUGACACCAUAAUGAGAUAUUUUUGACCACACAGAGGCCUAAACAAUGCACCAGACAUCAGCUGAUGGACAUAUACUGUCAACAGGGAAAA
Molecule: long non-coding RNA, 1851 nt
Organism: Pelobates fuscus (common spadefoot toad)
Lineage: Eukaryota; Metazoa; Chordata; Amphibia; Anura; Pelobatidae
Exons: 2
Source: RefSeq, a predicted model, not a curated record